ACAUCGGUAGCAUAGUGGCCAGUGCAGUCUGCCGGAGACAGGAAGACGCGGGUUCAAUUCCCGUCCGAUGUC
Molecule: non-coding RNA, 72 nt
Organism: Nippostrongylus brasiliensis
Lineage: Eukaryota; Metazoa; Nematoda; Chromadorea; Rhabditida; Heligmosomidae
Source: Rfam